RNAcentral lists this ribosomal RNA (477 nucleotides) under uncultured bacterium. RNAcentral's name for it is "partial 16S ribosomal RNA". It matches the Rfam family "Bacterial small subunit ribosomal RNA", at positions 28 to 507 of the family's 1533-position model. The record is from RNAcentral.
GAUGAACGCUGGCGGCGUGCCUAAUACAUGCCAGUCGAACGAACAGACGAUGAGCUUGCUCCUCUCACGUUAGCGGCGGACGUGAGAGUAACACGUGGAUCACCUACCUAUAAUACUGGUAUCACUUCGGAAAACCGGAUCUAAUCCCGUAUAAGAUAUUGCACCACAUGGUUCAAUAGUGAAAUACGGUUUUGCUGGCACUUGUGGAUGGAUCGGCGCCGAAUUAUCUGGUUGUUGGUGUAGCGGGUUACCAAGGCAACGAUGCGUAGCCGGCCUUGGAGGUGGAACGGCGACAUGGGGACUGAGAGAGGGCCCAGACGCCAACGGGAGGCAGCAGGGGGGAAUAUGGCGGAAUGGGCGGGAGCGUGAGGCAGCAACGCCGGGUGCGGGAUGACGGGUUACGGGUGGAAAACCAAUUUCGCCGGUAACAAAGCGGGAGUGACGGUAAUGGGUAAAAAAGCACCGGCUAACUACGUG